Miniopterus natalensis is the source of this 1102-nucleotide non-coding RNA. The record is from RefSeq and is a predicted model, not a curated record. Lineage: Eukaryota; Metazoa; Chordata; Mammalia; Chiroptera; Miniopteridae.
AAUGGGAAAAAUAUCCCUGGGUGAGGAUUAACCAAAAAAAAAGUAGGUUGUCAUUAUGUGUCCUGGGAGUUACCAUUUUAAUACAAGAUACAAAAAAAGAUGAUUGGAAGAACUUAAAAUAUAUAAGUAAAAUAAUAAAGACCAUCUACUAAAAAACUUAGCUAAUGUCAUACUUAAUGGUGACAAUGAAUGUUUUUCCCCAAAAAUCAGUAACAAGGUAAGGAUAUCCUCUCACUUCUAUUCACAACUGUAGUGGAUUCCUACCUACAAAAAAAAUCCCAAAACACAUGCUAAUUGGGAAGGAAAAAUAAAACUGACUCUAUUCACAGAUAUUAUCUCUGCAGAAAAUCCCAAAAAAUCAACAAAAAAGCUCCUAGAACUAAUAAGCAUAUCUUGGAAAAGUGGCAGGAACCAAGGUUAGUAUACAAAAGAAAAUCACAUUCUUGUAUACCAGCAGUGAACAAGGGGUAAAAGUUUAAAAGAAAACAAUGACUUAAAUUUUAGAAGCUGACAGUACCAAGUGCUGAUGGGAAUGUAAAAAUAGUAAAGCCCCUUUAUUUAAAAAAAAAACUCCAAACUGUUUCUCAACCAGCUUUUUUGUAGGUAUGGACUAGUAACAAGCUGAUGCUAAAAUCUGUAUGAAAAAGCAAAGGACCUAAAGUAGCCAAAACAAUUCUGAAAAGAACAAAGUUGGAGGAUUCAUAUUACAUGAUUUCAAGGCUUAUUAUAAAACUAAUCAAGAUAGUAUGGUAUUGGCAAAAGGAUAGAGUUCUAUAGAACAGAGUCCAGAAAUAUUCCCACACAAAUAGUCAACUGAGUGCACAAAGGUGUAAAGGCAACUCAUUGGAGAAAGGACCAUCUUCAACAAAUGGUGCUAAAAAACGAUGUCCAUACACAACAAAAUGAACGUUGACAUAGCCUCACACCUAGAUCUGUAGUCUGCCUUAGUGAACUGCUCUGUUGUCAGUGUUAAUUUCUUAGUUCUGGUGAAUAAAUGCCCAUGGUUCUAUAAGGUCCCAUUAGAGCCAUCUGGGAACUACGUACUGUCUUUGCAACUCUUCUGCAAAACAAAAAUUAUUUGAAUAAAGUUAUAGAAGAAAAA